Phascolarctos cinereus (koala) is the source of this 1240-nucleotide non-coding RNA. NCBI's taxonomy places the organism in Eukaryota, Metazoa, Chordata, Mammalia, Diprotodontia, Phascolarctidae. The record is from RefSeq and is a predicted model, not a curated record.
ACAGCUAGUGAGUGUCAGAACUCUGGUCUCCCUGACUCUGGGCCUGGCGCUCUGUGCACUAUGGCGCCGCCUGGCGGCCACCUCUCUGCAUGCCGUCUCCCAAGAAAAUGCAAGCCCCAGGAGCGCGGGGUGUGUUCCUCUACGCAUCCCUAACAGCAGGUGUUCAGGGGUCCUCAUGGAUGGAAGAAGACAGAGAACAGGCGUGUGCUGGGAAAGUCAUUGACUGAAGCGGCUGUGAUGUCACGUGAUCUAAGGGCCGCUCCGUCCUUGCUCAUUGGCAGAGCACGAAAAGACCAAGCCCCACGUGACUGCCCCUCCUUUCCAAAUCCAGGAAGGCUACAAGUGGAGAAAAGGCACGCUCUGGAGCUCCAGACCCUGUACCUUCCUCUCGCGGCUCCUGGGCCUGAGAAGCCAUGGCUUCUCAGGCCAUCGGAGUAUUGCGAGGUCGGUGACCCGAAACUGUGUUUCCUGGGGAGGUGAUCAAAAUGGACUAAGCGGCAUCUUCGUCAGAAGAGGAGUUGUACCUGGGUUCGGUGCUGAGUACUGGGGCCGCCCCACUGGGCUGCGCGUAGCUGGGGAAGCACCUGAGACUGACUCUGAGGAGGAGCCCGCGACCCUGGUGGCCCACGAGGAUCUGCUUCCACUCGUGGUGGUUCGGGGCCCACAGUGGGCAGAAAAGGAGGCUCCCGCAGCAGCGAGGCUCCCGCAGCGGCUACGCUCCCUGCCUCGCGCCAGGCCUCACUGCUGCAACACAGGCUGGCUGAGAGCUAGGCUCGCCUGGGCCACGAUGUGAGCGCCGUGGUGCAUGGUAUGUACAGGCGAGCUGGCCUCAAUGUGGCCGGCCUGGCAGCCCGUCUAGCCGCCGCGCAGGAGGUGGGCUUGGCGGCUGCCCACAGCAUCCGCCUGGCCCGUAGCAACCUCCGUGCCCUUACCGAGUGCCUGGACAUUGUAGCCAGCUGCCCACUGCUGCCUGACAUCCAAUCUCCUGCUGAGCCAGCCCCUGGGCAUGGUGGAGGAGCAGCCCUCCUCACCUGUGUCCCACCCCCACUGUGGUCCCAAGGUCUAGUGUCCCUUGCUGGCUUCUCUGGGGAGGGUUGGUAGAGGCCGUCUCAGUGCUCCUUUAUCCAGGGUUCAGGGGCCCUCCACUGGGUUGGCGGAUGGAAAGGGCCUGGGGGAUGGGAGCUGCCUCACCCUCUGUACCCUCACCAGGUUUCAAUAAAGUGUCUUUGGAUUUUUUUUU